RNAcentral lists this ribosomal RNA (397 nucleotides) under uncultured bacterium. RNAcentral's name for it is "partial 16S ribosomal RNA". It matches the Rfam family "Bacterial small subunit ribosomal RNA", at positions 523 to 918 of the family's 1533-position model. The record is from RNAcentral.
AUACGUAGGGGGCGAGCGUUGUCCGGAAUGAUUGGGCGUAAAGGGCGCGUAGGCGGCCCGGUAAGUCUGGAGUGAAAGUCCUGUUUUUAAGAUGGGAAUUGCUUUGGAUACUGUCGGGCUUGAGUGCAGGAGAGGUAAGUGGAAUUCCCAGUGUAGCGGUGAAAUGCGUAGAGAUUGGGAGGAACACCAGUGGCGAAGGCGACUUACUGGACUGUAACUGACGCUGAGUCGCGAAAGUGUGGGGAGCAAACAGGAUUAGAUACCCUGGUAGUCCACACCGUAAACGAUGAAUGCUAGGUGUAGGGGGUAUCGACCCCUUCUGUGCCGCAGUCAACACAAUAAGCAUUCCGCCUGGGGAGUACGGCCGCAAGGUUGAAACUCAAAUGAAUUGACGGGG